This 460-nucleotide ribosomal RNA is filed under the name uncultured bacterium. RNAcentral describes it as "partial 16S ribosomal RNA". It matches the Rfam family "Bacterial small subunit ribosomal RNA", at positions 338 to 795 of the family's 1533-position model. The record is from RNAcentral.
CCUACGGGAGGCAGCAGUGAGGAAUAUUGGUCAAUGGGCGAGAGCCUGAACCAGCCAAGUCGCGUGAAGGAUGAAGGCUCUAUGGGUUGUAAACUUCUUUUAUAUGGGAAUAAAGUGAGGUACGUAUUCCUUUUUGUAUGUACCAUAUGAAUAAGCAUCGGCUAACUCCGUGCCAGCAGCCGCGGUAAUACGGAGGGUCCGAGCGUUAUCCGGAUUUAUUGGGUUUAAAGGGUGCGUAGGUGGGUAGUUAAGUCAGCGGUGAAAGUUUGUGGCUCAACCGUAAAAUUGCAGUUGAGACUGGUAGCCUUGAGUAUAUUAGAGGUAGGCGGAAUGCGUGGUGUAGCGGUGAAAUGCAUAGAUAUCACGAAGAACUCCGAUUGCGAAGGCAGCUUACUAGACUAUAACUGACGCUGAGGCUCGAAAGCGUGGGGAUCAAACAGGAUUAGAUACCCGAGUAGUC